This is a long non-coding RNA of Lotus japonicus, 902 nucleotides long. RefSeq lists it as uncharacterized. The transcript has 3 exons. The record is from RefSeq and is a predicted model, not a curated record. Lineage: Eukaryota; Viridiplantae; Streptophyta; Magnoliopsida; Fabales; Fabaceae.
AAUACUGACGUGUCACUUAUUUAAUUCAUAAUAUAUAGGCUACUAAUUGGUGACGGAAAUAAUCCGUCACAAAACCCUUCAGCCAAUACAUUUGUCUUCUUCCUCACACAUUUCUUGUUUCUUUUUCUCCUCUUCUUCUUUCUCGCAGGUACUGGUAAUGCAGAACAAAUAAUUAAAGCUUCCCAGACCAGAAAAGUACUCAAAUCAUGUGGCACAACUGCAAAACACUCAAAGAUAUGUCACAGGCACAUGUGGCGAAUUAGCUGGUAACUGCUUCCAUAGCUCAGAUCCUGGAAGUAACACUGUCUCCUAACUCAAGAUUUUCCCUCUGUCAAUGGCUUGGACUAUUGGUCAUGGUUAGCAUUUUCCUAUGCUCUGUUUCCAUUCUCUAAAUUUUCUGUUGUUGGGGACUGGGGAGUCUGCGAGAGUGUGAGGUUUCUGAUUCUGAACGAUGAACAAACAAGUUUAUGGGUAUGAACGAACAGGUUUCUGGGAUCUGGGUUGGUUUUUGGGGGGUUUGGAUCGAUGGGGUUCUGCAGGAAAAUGGAUUCUGCAUUCUGGUACGGUCUGUGUCUAUAUAGGUUUCUGGUUUUUAUUCCCUUUGGUGGCUGGUUGCAGCGUGUUUGAAAGAAAAGAAUGUGAUAAUUCUGAAAUGUGUGAGGAAGAAGACAAAGGUAUUGGCUGAAGGGUUUUGUGACGGAUUAUUUCCGUCACCAAUUAGUAGCUUAUAUUUUAUGAAUUAAAUAAGUGACACGUCAGCAUUUCCAUUUGGUCAACUAACAGAGAUAGACGGAAGGGCUUCAAUCAACCGUUUUAGAAACAUGAGGGAGUUUGACCGCACAUUUUAAACACAGGAGGUGCAAACCGCACAUUUAUGAAACAUCAGGGACCCAAACUGGAAU